UGAGGAAUAUUGGUCAAUGGACGGAAGUCUGAACCAGCCAAGUAGCGUGCAGGAUGACGGCCCUAUGGGUUGUAAACUGCUUUUGUAUGGGGAUAAAGUUAGGGACGUGUCCCUAUUUGCAGGUACCAUACGAAUAAGGACCGGCUAAUUCCGUGCCAGCAGCCGCGGUAAUACGGAAGGUCCAGGCGUUAUCCGGAUUUAUUGGGUUUAAAGGGAGCGUAGGCUGGAGAUUAAGUGUGUUGUGAAAUGUAGACGCUCAACGUCUGAAUUGCAGCGCAUACUGGUUUCCUUGAGUACGCACAACGUUGGCGGAAUUCGUCGUGUAGCGGUGAAAUGCUUAGAUAUGACGAAGAACUCCGAUUGCGAAGGCAGCUGACGGGAGCGCAACUGACGCUUAAGCUCGAAGGUGCGGGUAUCAAACAGGAUUAGAUACCCUGGUAGUCCGCACAGUAAACGAUGGAUGCCCCGCUGUUGGUACCUGGUAUCAGCGGCUAAGCGAAAGCAUUAAGCAUCCCACCUGGGGAGUACGCCGGGCAACGGUG
This 542-nucleotide ribosomal RNA is filed under the name uncultured bacterium. RNAcentral's name for it is "bacterial SSU rRNA". It matches the Rfam family "Bacterial small subunit ribosomal RNA", at positions 355 to 896 of the family's 1533-position model. The record is from RNAcentral.